This 484-nucleotide ribosomal RNA is filed under the name uncultured bacterium. RNAcentral describes it as "partial 16S ribosomal RNA". It matches the Rfam family "Bacterial small subunit ribosomal RNA", at positions 30 to 507 of the family's 1533-position model. The record is from RNAcentral.
AUUGAACGCUGGCGGCAGGCCUAACACAUGCAAGUCGAGCGGAUGAAGGGAGCUUGCUCCUGGAUUCAGCGGCGGACGGGUGAGUAAUGCCUAGGAAUCUGCCUGGUAGUGGGGGAUAACGUCCGGAAACGGGCGCUAAUACCGCAUACGUCCUGAGGGAGAAAGUGGGGGAUCUUCGGACCUCACGCUAUCAGAUGAGCCUAGGUCGGAUUAGCUAGUUGGUGGGGUAAAGGCCUACCAAGGCGACGAUCCGUAACUGGUCUGAGAGGAUGAUCAGUCACACUAGAACUGAGACACGGUCCAGACUCCUACGGGAGGCAGCAGUGGGGAAUAUUGGACAAUGGGCGAAAGCCUGAUCCAGCCAUGCCGCGUGUGUGAAGAAGGUCUUCGGAUCGGAAAGCACGUUAAGUUGGGAGGAAGGGCAGUAAGUUAAUACCUUGCUGUUUUGACGUUACCAACAGAAUAAGCACCGGCUAACUUCGUG